Molecule: non-coding RNA, 117 nt
Filed under: Pteridomonas danica
Lineage: Eukaryota; Dictyochophyceae; Pedinellales
Source: RNAcentral
UAUCUAAAUAAAAAAAAAAAAAUAAAUAAAAUAAAAUAAAAAAUAACACAUCAUAAUACGAUUGUCAUUGUUCUCUCUUCUUCGUUUUUUUUACCUAUUCUAUCUUUCUUUUCCUUU